GUCUAUAUAUUAGUGGCGGAGGGUUAGUAAUACAUGGAUAACAUGCCUUUUAGCUCGGGAUAACGGUUGGAAACGGCCGCUAAUACCGGAUGAGGUGGUGCAAGAUAACUUGCACUUAUCAAAGAUGGGGAUCUUCGGACCUAUCGCUAAAAGAGUGGUUCAUGGGAUAUCAGCUUGUUGGUGGGGUAAAAGCCUACCAAGGCUAAGACGUCUAGGCGGAUUGAGAGAUUGACCGCCAACACUGGGACUGAGACACUGCCCAGACUCCUACGGGAGGCUGCAGUCGAGAAUCUUUCGCAAUGGGCGAAAGCCUGACGAAGCGACGCCGUGUGAACGAAGAAGGCCUUCGGGUUGUAAAGUUCUUUCGCCUGGGAACAAGGGAUAUAUAUAAAUAAUAUAUAGACUUGAGGGUACCAGGUAAAGAAGCACCGGCUAACUCCGUGCCAGCAGCUGCGGUAAUACGGAGGGUGCAAGCAUUAAUCGGAAUUAUUGGGCGUAAAGGGCGCGUAGGCGGACUGGCAAGUCAUAUGUGAAAUUCCAAGGCUUAACCUUGGAACUGCAUGUGAAACUUCCAGACUAGAGGUAAGGCGGAGAAAAUGGAAUUUCCCAUGUAGCGGUGAAAUGCGUAGAUAUGGGAAGGAACACCGGCGGCGAAGGCGGUUUUCUAGCCUUCACCUGACGCUGAGGCGCGAAAGCGAGGGGAGCAAACAGGAUUAGAUACCCUGGUAGUCCUCGCUGUAAACGAUGCAUACUUGAUGUGAUUGGGCUCAACCCUGGUCGUGUCGAAGCUAACGCGAUAAGUAUGCCGCCUGAGGAGUACGCUCGCAAGGGUGAAACUCAAAAGAAUUGACGGGGGCCCGCACAAGCAGUGGAGCAUGUGGUUUAAUUCGAUGCAACGCGAAGAACCUUACCCAGGCUUGACAUGCAGGUUGC
This 933-nucleotide ribosomal RNA is filed under the name uncultured Chlamydiae bacterium. RNAcentral describes it as "bacterial SSU rRNA". It matches the Rfam family "Bacterial small subunit ribosomal RNA", at positions 83 to 996 of the family's 1533-position model. Lineage: Bacteria; Pseudomonadati; Chlamydiota; Chlamydiia. The record is from RNAcentral.